AUUAUAGCAACAAAAUGGUCAGAUUGCAAGGUCAAGAGUAGGGGAAGCCUCUGCCCUGGAAAAUUCAGGGUAGAGGGUUGUCAAAAGAGAGAGUUGUCAGCCAUGCAAGGCAGCAGGUAGGGACUGGGGAACGCUGGAAGAACCUGGAGCCGCUUGUCCUGGUCCUGAAGCACACCCAGAAGCAGGUUGUGUUCCAAAAUACUAACAGGUGUUUCAAAUGUGCUAAAGACUUGACCUAUAUCGAAGUCUGGGUUUGGAAUGCUUCCUGAUGGCGCACUUUCAAGGCUUGGAACUAAUGGGAUCUGGUGGCAACUCAGAGGUGUGUGUCUGCAAGAGCUUUUCAGUCUCUUCGGUAUGCCCUUUAAGAGCCUGUGCUGUUGGUGUUCAGGGAAUCUUAUGAAAGAAGGGGGAGAUAGAAAGACCUGGAAGGGUCUGGAGUUACACAAGGAGAACAACAGAACCAAAAUAUCUAGGCCCACGUGCCUUUUCUGA
This 492-nucleotide long non-coding RNA is filed under the name Meriones unguiculatus (Mongolian gerbil). RNAcentral's name for it is "lncRNA (ENSMUGG00000015937.1)". Lineage: Eukaryota; Metazoa; Chordata; Mammalia; Rodentia; Muridae. The record is from RNAcentral.